This 900-nucleotide ribosomal RNA is filed under the name uncultured bacterium. Its description in RNAcentral is "bacterial SSU rRNA". It matches the Rfam family "Bacterial small subunit ribosomal RNA", at positions 8 to 922 of the family's 1533-position model. The record is from RNAcentral.
AGAGUUUGAUCAUGGCUCAGAACGAACGCUGGCGGCGUGGAUAAGACAUGCAAGUCGAACGAUUAAACUCCUUCGGGAGAUAUACAGUGGCGAACGGGUGCGUAACACGUGAGCAACCUGCCCAAAAGUGGGGGAUAGCUCGCCGAAAGGCGAAUUAAUACCGCAUGUGGCUAGAGGGGUCAUCCCCUCCAAGCCAAAGCAGCAAUGCGCUUUUGGAUGGGCUCGCGGCCUAUCAGCUUGUUGGUGAGGUAACGGCCCACCAAGGCAUUGACGGGUAGCUGGUCUGAGAGGACGACCAGCCACACUGGGACUGAGAUACGGCCCAGACACCUACGGGUGGCAGCAGUCGAGAAUUUUUCGCAAUGGGCGCAAGCCUGACGGAGCGACGCCGCGUGGAGGAUGAAGGUCAUUAGAUUGUAAACUCCUGUCAUGCGAGAACAAGAAAGUGAUAGUAUCGCAAGAGGAAGGGACGGCUAACUCUGUGCCAGCAGCCGCGGUAAUACAGAGGUCCCAAGCGUUGUUCGGAUUCAUUGGGCGUAAAGGGUGCGUAGGCGGUGUCGCAAGUCGAAUGUGAAAUCCCGGAGCUCAACUCCGGAACUGCAUUCGAUACUGCGGCGCUCGAGGACUGUAGAGGAGAAUGGAAUUCACGGUGUAGCAGUGAAAUGCGUAGAUAUCGUGAGGAAGACCAGUGGCGAAGGCGAUUCUCUGGGCAGUUCCUGACGCUGAGGCACGAAGGCCAGGGUAGCGAACGGGAUUAGAUACCCCGGUAGUCCUGGCAGUAAACGGUGCACGUUUGGUGUGGGAGGAUUCGACCCCUUCCGUGCCGGAGCUAACGCGUUAAACGUGCCGCCUGGGAAGUACGGUCGCAAGAUUAAAACUCAAAGAAAUUGACGGGGGCCC